Molecule: ribosomal RNA, 478 nt
Filed under: Acrobeloides sp. Sourhope farm
Lineage: Eukaryota; Metazoa; Nematoda; Chromadorea; Rhabditida; Cephalobidae
Description: SSU rRNA
Rfam family: Eukaryotic small subunit ribosomal RNA
Source: RNAcentral
AGAUUAAGCCAUGCAUGUCUAAGUAUAAACGAUUUAAUCGUGAAACCACGAAUGGCUCAUUAUAACAGCUAUAAUUUACUUGAUCUUGACACAAUCCUACUUGGAUAACUGUGGUAAUUCUAGAGCUAAUACAUGCAUUAAAGCUCUGACCUCACGGGAAGAGUGCAUUUAUUAGAUCAAAACCUAGCGGCUUCGGCUGUUUCUGGUUGACUCAUAGUAACUGAGCUGAUCGCAUGGUCUUGCACCGGCGACGUGUCUUUCAAGUAUCUGCCGUAUCAACUUUCGAUGGUAGUGUAUCUGACUACCAUGGUGAUCACGCGUAACGGAGAAUAAGGGUUCGGCUCCGGAGAGUUCGCCUGAGAAAUCGCGAACACAUCUAAGGAAGGCAGCAGGCGCGAAAAUUACCCACUCUCAGCACGAGGAGGUAGUGACGAAAAAUAACGAGACCGUUCUCUUAUGAGGCCGGUCAUCGGAAUGG